This 468-nucleotide ribosomal RNA is filed under the name uncultured bacterium. Its description in RNAcentral is "partial 16S ribosomal RNA". It matches the Rfam family "Bacterial small subunit ribosomal RNA", at positions 28 to 507 of the family's 1533-position model. The record is from RNAcentral.
GACGAACGCUGGCGGCGUGCUUAACACAUGCAAGUCGAACGGAAAGACCCUGCGUUUGUGCGUUUCUCGAUUGGCGAACGGGUGAGUAACACGUGAGUAACCUGCCCUUGACUGUGGGAGAACUUCAGGGAACUCGGGCUAAUACCGGAUAGGAGCUCCUGCUGCAUGGUGGUGGUUGGAAAGUGUCGGCCUUUGGGGAUGGACUCGCUGCUUAUCAGCUUGUUGGUGGGGUAGUGGCUUACCAAGGCUUUGACGGGUAGCCCGCCUGGGAGGGUGACCGGCCACACUGGGACUGAGAGAAGGCACAGAUUCCUAAGCGACGGAGCAGGGGGGAAUCCUGAACAAGCGGCGGCGGCCUGAUGAAGAAACGCCGCGUGUCGGAUAACGGUGUUAGGGUUGUAGAACAAAUGUGUAAGUGACGAUGCGUGACUGACGGUAAUCGGUACAGAAGGACAGGCCAAAUUCGUG